UUCAAUCCAGACUAGAUUCAAACAUUUCAUUCAAUCUCAUUUUUUUACUUUCCUUCUACUUCAUAUCCUUUUACCCAAAACAGAUCUGAAUAAAAUACAUAACAAAACCAAAACACGCAUCAAAUUACAAAUUACAUAUACACAAAAUUUUAUAUAACAAAUAUUUACAUAGCAAUUCAUCAAUCAACUUCGCUAUUCAAUCUGCCAAAAUAAAAACCCUAAAACUAAGAAAUUUUCAGUUUCAAUCUGUUUCAUGAUCGGGUGCAGGGGAAUACCAAGCAGGGAAUGUACCUUUGCUUCUCAGCAAUCUCGUAAAUGGCGAAUCUGGCAUUCUCCCUUCCUCUUCUUCUUCUAUUUCCUCUGCAGAUUUCGGCAAUCCAUCUGGUAUCGGACACUCCCUCCCUCUUCUUCCUUCCACCUCCUUCAAUUCCUUCUUCCCCUUGUUUUCGUUUCCUUUCCUCUUCUGUAUGGCCGCGAUCCCGUGUAAGCAUCCGAUCAGCGAUUUCACGCCUCCUGCUUGAAGAAUCAGUUUCUCCACUUCUUGUCUUGGCGAUUCUUUUUCUAGAUCUUUGAGUUCGAAGUACGCUUUCCAACAGCUAUAAGAAUCGUCUCCUUCCAACGUUGAGCAAUAAUCUGCAAGCUCGUUCUCGGAUUUCUCAAUCAGAGGCGGCUCUUUGAUGGCGCGAUCGAGCUUGGUGCGGCUAAACGGCUGGAGCUUCGGGAUAUAAGCAUGGCUUUUGGAAGAACAACGAACAACGGUAGAAGAAAAUCUCGGAGAGGAAGAGGAACCGGUCCGGCGAAGUAGAAGAUCUGUGGCUUCGAGAAGUAAAGGAGAUGAAACGGGACGGAGAAGGGAUGAUUCCAUCGUUGAAACCAAACGGAAAAUUGAGAGCAAUUGUG
This 900-nucleotide unclassified non-coding RNA is filed under the name Hevea brasiliensis (rubber tree). The record is from RNAcentral. Lineage: Eukaryota; Viridiplantae; Streptophyta; Magnoliopsida; Malpighiales; Euphorbiaceae.